Molecule: long non-coding RNA, 1450 nt
Organism: Artibeus jamaicensis (Jamaican fruit-eating bat)
Lineage: Eukaryota; Metazoa; Chordata; Mammalia; Chiroptera; Phyllostomidae
Exons: 5
Source: RefSeq, a predicted model, not a curated record
CGGUGGAAGAACAGAAACAGAGCAGUGAGGCUGCGUGGCUCCAUUUUCCAGUGCCACCAACUGUGAGUUAAGCUGACUAACAUUGUGAAAACCCGGUCCAUUUCGGUCACAGCAGGCGUGGCAGCGGUUGAGUGAUUGUACCCGCCAGAUGGCUAAUAUCAUAAUUAACAAAGUUGCUACUGCAUUUGCAAAGUUUAAUCGAAAAAUUUGCCCGUGAUAUGACGGCAUAGUCACAAAGAUCACAAGGGAUACGGAGCCGAGGUGGAGUGGCAAAGCUGUGUAGGCAAGGCGAGGAGAAAUCGCCAACUCGUUCAGCCAAAGGGUAUGCAUCAUAUCACCCACCAGGGAGGAUCAUCUCUCAUGAAAACUUUUAAAUUUGAUUUUGGAAAUUAUACAGAAAAAUUGAAGCCGCACUCUCUUCCCAUGUAAGAAAGAAUAUGCUCUGGAGAUUCCUAUAAUUCAAGGAAAAUGGACUAGGGUAGCAUUUGGGUUCUCGUGCUACCCAAAAUCCUCUUAAGCAGGAGGCUAAUAAUGAAGGGGCCAGGGAAGGAGGCCAGUGCUACGAGGGUUAUCUCACAGCCUCAGAUGCUGGAUAAGUCGACGGAGGCAGAAUCGCUUUUGGAUGACAUUCAGAAAGGCCGGAGUGAUUAUUUGGAAGAGAAAAGCCUGCCUAUUCUUUUCCAAGGUGUGUGAAUAUUCCUCUGGCCUGCCGGUCCACCGAUGAAUUACUGGCAACCUGCUGUAGACAAAGGAUGCUCUCGGAACCCCACCACACCUAAAGCCACGCUUUGAAGGAUCUGCCAAGCUCACUUUUAAUCAUGAGAAAGAAAUUACUCACACGGAGUCAGCAGAAAAUGAGAAAGUGGAGCCCAUGCUACGAAUAAUUCCAGCAAGUGCCAAGGGGCUAGUUGAGGAAUGGCUUCACGAGGUGAAUAUCUUUAGCUUGUACGUAGGGUUUGGCUCGAGUAUAAUCAUUUUUUCUUUUAGGAACGAUGACUAUCCUAAGUGUGUUUCCUAACGAAAGAGUGCUCAGAGCAUCUGUCAGGAUGUUGACGGAUUUAAUGUCAGUCUCGUCCUUGUUGUUAUGUACUAUGACUAAUUUUACAUUUGCAAAGAUGCAAACAUCAGUUGAGGCGAAGAAGAGGCUGUCUGAGCCAAUGACUGUUAAUAGCUGUACGUAUCGGUGUGUUUCACUGUGAGUGCCUGUCCAGUGAUUCCCGUCUGUGUAUGUAUGUGUCCUCGUUCUUGUCUCCUCUCUGUUGUGCACGUCGGUCGGGAGGACUGGCCUGCCAAUGGGUCUUCAGACGUGGUCCCAGGCUUUCAUUUGAUUUUUGGACCAGGAAAAAAAGAAUGUGUCGUGUCAUGAUGAAUGGUCAAUCUGAAUUUUCAAUGCGUGUGAAAGGCAAAGGGGGAGGAGGAUAUAAGCCCAGUGAUGAGACUAACCUUUAAC